This 253-nucleotide ribosomal RNA is filed under the name uncultured bacterium. RNAcentral describes it as "partial 16S ribosomal RNA". It matches the Rfam family "Bacterial small subunit ribosomal RNA", at positions 524 to 776 of the family's 1533-position model. The record is from RNAcentral.
UACGUAGGGUGCGAGCGUUAAUCGGAAUUACUGGGCGUAAAGCGUGCGCAGGCGGUUUUGUAAGCCAGAUGUGAAAUCCCCGGGCUUAACCUGGGAACUGCAUUUGUGACUGCAUGGCUAGAGUACGGUAGAGGGGGAUGGAAUUCCGCGUGUAGCAGUGAAAUGCGUAGAUAUGCGGAGGAACACCGAUGGCGAAGGCAAUCCCCUGGACCUGUACUGACGCUCAUGCACGAAAGCGUGGGGAGCAAACAGG